RNAcentral lists this ribosomal RNA (1471 nucleotides) under Enterococcus faecium. RNAcentral's name for it is "bacterial SSU rRNA". It matches the Rfam family "Bacterial small subunit ribosomal RNA". The record is from RNAcentral. Lineage: Bacteria; Bacillati; Bacillota; Bacilli; Lactobacillales; Enterococcaceae.
UUUUAUGAGAGUUUGAUCCUGGCUCAGGACGAACGCUGGCGGCGUGCCUAAUACAUGCAAGUCGAACGCUUCUUUUUCCACCGGAGCUUGCUCCACCGGAAAAAGAGGAGUGGCGAACGGGUGAGUAACACGUGGGUAACCUGCCCAUCAGAAGGGGAUAACACUUGGAAACAGGUGCUAAUACCGUAUAACAAUCGAAACCGCAUGGUUUUGAUUUGAAAGGCGCUUUCGGGUGUCGCUGAUGGAUGGACCCGCGGUGCAUUAGCUAGUUGGUGAGGUAACGGCUCACCAAGGCCACGAUGCAUAGCCGACCUGAGAGGGUGAUCGGCCACAUUGGGACUGAGACACGGCCCAAACUCCUACGGGAGGCAGCAGUAGGGAAUCUUCGGCAAUGGACGAAAGUCUGACCGAGCAACGCCGCGUGAGUGAAGAAGGUUUUCGGAUCGUAAAACUCUGUUGUUAGAGAAGAACAAGGAUGAGAGUAACUGUUCAUCCCUUGACGGUAUCUAACCAGAAAGCCACGGCUAACUACGUGCCAGCAGCCGCGGUAAUACGUAGGUGGCAAGCGUUGUCCGGAUUUAUUGGGCGUAAAGCGAGCGCAGGCGGUUUCUUAAGUCUGAUGUGAAAGCCCCCGGCUCAACCGGGGAGGGUCAUUGGAAACUGGGAGACUUGAGUGCAGAAGAGGAGAGUGGAAUUCCAUGUGUAGCGGUGAAAUGCGUAGAUAUAUGGAGGAACACCAGUGGCGAAGGCGGCUCUCUGGUCUGUAACUGACGCUGAGGCUCGAAAGCGUGGGGAGCAAACAGGAUUAGAUACCCUGGUAGUCCACGCCGUAAACGAUGAGUGCUAAGUGUUGGAGGGUUUCCGCCCUUCAGUGCUGCAGCUAACGCAUUAAGCACUCCGCCUGGGGAGUACGACCGCAAGGUUGAAACUCAAAGGAAUUGACGGGGGCCCGCACAAGCGGUGGAGCAUGUGGUUUAAUUCGAAGCAACGCGAAGAACCUUACCAGGUCUUGACAUCCUUUGACCACUCUAGAGAUAGAGCUUCCCCUUCGGGGGCAAAGUGACAGGUGGUGCAUGGUUGUCGUCAGCUCGUGUCGUGAGAUGUUGGGUUAAGUCCCGCAACGAGCGCAACCCUUAUUGUUAGUUGCCAUCAUUCAGUUGGGCACUCUAGCAAGACUGCCGGUGACAAACCGGAGGAAGGUGGGGAUGACGUCAAAUCAUCAUGCCCCUUAUGACCUGGGCUACACACGUGCUACAAUGGGAAGUACAACGAGUCGCGAAGUCGCGAGGCUAAGCUAAUCUCUUAAAGCUUCUCUCAGUUCGGAUUGCAGGCUGCAACUCGCCUGCAUGAAGCCGGAAUCGCUAGUAAUCGCGGAUCAGCACGCCGCGGUGAAUACGUUCCCGGGCCUUGUACACACCGCCCGUCACACCACGAGAGUUUGUAACACCCGAAGUCGGUGAGGUAACCUUUU